CCAAAGGCUCUUUUAAGAGCCACCCACUUUUUUAUAAAAGUGCUGG
Non-coding RNA from Erinaceus europaeus (western European hedgehog), 46 nucleotides. Lineage: Eukaryota; Metazoa; Chordata; Mammalia; Eulipotyphla; Erinaceidae. The record is from Rfam.